Molecule: small RNA, 1141 nt
Filed under: Drosophila ananassae
Lineage: Eukaryota; Metazoa; Arthropoda; Insecta; Diptera; Drosophilidae
Description: GF27534
Source: RNAcentral
ACAAUGAAGUACAAGACCUCAGACAGACGUCCUUUUGCCGAGGUCUGAUUAUUUGGAGAGGUAGUUUUAGGACUAUUGGAUACUGGUGCAGUGGUUAGCUGUAUUGGAGGGAGUUCGGAGGAGACCGGAAAGGCUACCUACGAGCGGUAGGAUAAGCAAGGGCGAGCGAUAGGCACCUAUCAUGUCAAAGAGGUGAAACAGUAGUUCUCGCCUCCGUGAUUGAGCUAAACAGGAUCGUUUGAGAUCCUGUUCUAGCUCUUGAGAAGGGGGCAUUUUGUAACGUCGGCGAUAGGUCGACCGGGUUGGCAGCCUGGGGGGGUGCGGUGUUUCAGCCUUUCUGGCAGCCCGAUCGCGUAAUAGGACCCUAUUCAGCGUUUCGUGGAGGAUCUGAUCGAUCUGGUAACGCGCUCAAAGCUAAGGUUAGGAAACCGCGUGGGAGCGGCGUUCUUUUUGAAUUUAACCACGAAACAAGCAAGUUCGUGCAAGCAAGGAGAAGCAUCCGGAAAUUUUCGAGCAACUGCAGCGUAGUUUUACCCGCUGAGGAACCAUCGUGCUGGGGCAGGACCAGCAGGCAUACAGAAAGAGGGCCACAAGCGGCAAUUUGGCGGUGUACGUACUGCUCAGUCAAGGCAGGGCGCGAUCGUAGAAGCUAGCUAGGUCAGGGGUACCAGCGUGCGAGCUAGACCCCUGGUGACAGAGAGGCAUAGUGCGAGCAACGCUUGGCCAGAAGAAGAAGAGAAGAGCGGGUCACAGUUGCGGCGCGAAUCUCUCAGUCAGGCCGCCCACGAGGCGGGGCUGAGGGGAGUCAUCAAAACCAAGUAGGAGCUGGAGAUACCGUGAGCUCGACCUGAAGUGAAGCAAUCGGAGCGUUCGCGACGCUUUAAGGGGCGCUCCGCCAGAGAUCCGGAUAGGGUUCGGCCCUAACCUCACAGGAGUCGCCGUAAAGUAGGCGCCAUCCUGGAGCAGUGACGAAGGACGGAGUGCUGGCGGCGCUUUAAGCAGCACCCCGUCGAUCACAGGAGCCGUCGUGUAGUAGGCGCCAUCCUGGAGUAGUGAAGGAAGACGGAGUGCUGGCGGCGCUUUAAGCAGCACCACGCCGGUCGCAGGAGCCGCCGUGCAGUAGGCGUCCUCCUGGAGGAGU